GGAGUUGUGGCUCAGUGGUAGAGCGCUUCUCUGGCACGUGUGAAGUCCUGAGUUCGAGCCUCAGCAUCGCAU
RNAcentral lists this transfer RNA (72 nucleotides) under Ictidomys tridecemlineatus (thirteen-lined ground squirrel). Its description in RNAcentral is "Spermophilus tridecemlineatus (thirteen-lined ground squirrel) tRNA". It matches the Rfam family "tRNA". Rfam says of the family: Transfer RNA (tRNA) molecules are approximately 80 nucleotides in length. The record is from Rfam by way of RNAcentral. Lineage: Eukaryota; Metazoa; Chordata; Mammalia; Rodentia; Sciuridae.